GACGAACGCUGGCGGCGCGCUUAACACAUGCAAGUCGUGCGGUGUCGAAGGCAAGUCUUACGACAAGCCUUCGACACAGCGGCGAACGGGUGAGUAACACGUGAGUAGCUGUCCUAAGGAGGGGGAUAACGCCUGGAAACGGGUGCUAACACCCCAUAUGCCUCGCAAGAGGUGAAAGUGUACUUGCUACAGCCUUAGGGUGUGCUCGCGGCCUAUCAGCUAGUUGGUGAGGUAACGGCUCACCAAGGCGACGAUCCUUAGCUGGUCUGAGAGGAUGAUCAGCCACACUGGGACUGAGACACGGCCCAGACUCCUACGGGAGGCAGCAGUGGGGAAUCUUCGGCAAUGGGCGGAAGCCUGACCGAGCGACGCCGCGUGAGGGACGAAGGCCUUCGGGUUGUAAACCUCUGUCUGGGGGACGAGUAAGGACGGUACCCCGGAGGAACGCCCCGGCUAACUACGUGCCAGCCAGCCGCGGUAAGAGUACUCUAU
Molecule: ribosomal RNA, 492 nt
Filed under: uncultured bacterium
Lineage: Bacteria
Description: bacterial SSU rRNA
Rfam family: Bacterial small subunit ribosomal RNA
Source: RNAcentral